Prosopis cineraria is the source of this 1498-nucleotide long non-coding RNA. RefSeq lists it as uncharacterized. The record is from RefSeq and is a predicted model, not a curated record. The transcript is spliced from 2 exons. Lineage: Eukaryota; Viridiplantae; Streptophyta; Magnoliopsida; Fabales; Fabaceae.
ACUAUCACCGUCCACCGUCGGAGGCUUGAAGAAAAUUCUACCAUUCGCGGAUGAACGAGGCUGAAGGAGACUGACGCCUCCGGUUGAAACCGGUCGUGGAACAAGAAUAUCCAAUUCUGAACCGUUUGUAGUCGAGAGACAAAGAAUGUGUUUGCCCGUUCGCGGAUGGGGACCAGGGCGAGAAAGCUUGUUCAUGUCUUGCCCGCACACGGAUGACAAUGGUGAAGGCCACGACCGUCUACGGUUGAGACCAGAAACACAUGGCAAACAUCAGUUAAAACGCUGAAUGAAUUGUAGGGCAUUUUUAAUGAAGGGAUACGAGAUUUUAGGUGGAGAACUCUCUGCUAGGGUGUGAAAACACUUAAAAUGCGAGCUAGGGCUCCUUAUUUGGGGAUCUGGUCACACAUAAGUGCUGGAGAUGGCUGAAGAUGGAGUUGAAGAGCACAUGUUCUGAUCUGGGAGGAACGAUCACUGAUCUAGAUCCCGCAAUGGAAGAAAAUAAGAGUAAUUGGCAUACGCUAAUAACCUUGUUCAAUUCGUUGGCUUUUGAUAAUCACAAAGACACCCAUUAGUCAUUCAAGUUCUUACAUAUUUUGCUUCAUUUUCCCAUCCACUAGGCAAGCAACAACGAAAUCAAAGAAUUACACGGCUAUCGACCACCCAGAAAGCGAGCUUGGUUUCGUAUUCAAGCUUGGUCAAUUUGUAGCUUGUUAGCUAUCGCAAUCUCAGUCAUGUUCGUAAAACUUUCAUCCACUAGUCAAACAGUCACUGGUAAAACUAAAGUCCAACCAUCAAGUUGGGGGAGUAAAAAGGAGAUUGGAAGUACCUGCCAGCAGACACGUCGUAGAUCUGGCUUCUGAUUGACACUAAGAUAGGUUUAUUGGGGUCGGAGCCAUUAUAGGUUCGCAAUUCCUGAUCAGUCAUUUCUCCCAUUUGGACCGGUUCAGGAGCGUCGACGUUCACGCCAUCCAACCCAAUAUUGUUUGGAGCGGUGAUGGUUGGGGGCUUAUUGUAAUCUUCAGGAGAAACAAACAUCCCGCAGACCGUUUGGUACACCAUAACCAUCAUAACCAGAAUGGUAAAGAAGGCCGUAGGAGAUAGGCCUGUGUAGCACGUUAUCGCCUCCAUUACCGUCGAGUGUACGCCCAUUUGUCAGAUUGCUAAAGCUCUAGGUUACUCUGUGACUGUGUGAAGGAGCCUUGGGGAACGAGAAGUAUGGGAAAUCGGAAUUGAAGCUGGCGAUGGAGAAGAAGAGACGAGAGUUCUCGGCUUCUCGGAAUAGAAGCAGCUAGGGGAAGAAAGGGCCGACGACACCUAAUUUGCCCCACCUACCCACCACCCAUUUGACGGUUGACAUUCCGUGAGCAUGAAACAAGUCAUCCAAUGGCUUAUGGUUUAUGUUAACCAAAAUUUAUAUUUUUACAAUUUUUAACAAUUAAAAAGUUGGAAAAACUAUUCAUAAACAUCAAGUUUAGAAAAUGUUUAUUUUUACUGUAAA